UAGAAGAAGGCCUUCUGGGUUGUAAAGCCCUUUUGUUGGGAAAGAAAUCCUUCUGGCUAAUACCCGGGUGGGAUGACGGUUCCCAAAGAAUAAGCACCGGCUAACUUCUGGCCAGCAGCCGCGGUAAUACGAAGGGUGCAAGCGUUACUCGGAAUUACUGGGCGUAAAGCGUGCGUAGGUGGUCGUUUAAGUCCGUUGGGAAAGCCCUGGACUCAACCUGGGAACUGGAGUGGAUACUGGGCGACUAAAGGGGGGGAAAAGGAAGCGAAAUUCCUGGGGGAACAGUGAAAUGGGUAAAAAUCAGGAAGAACUUCCAUGGGGAAGGCAGCUACCUGGACCAACACUGACCCUGAAGCACGAAAGCGUGGGGAGCAAACAGGAUUAAAUACCCUGGUAGUCCACGCCCUAAACGAUGCGAACUGGAUGUUGGGGGCCUUUUGGCACGCAGUAUCGAAGCUAACGCGUUAAGUUCGCCGCCUGGGGGAGUACGGUCGCAAGACUGAAAACUCAAGGAAUUGACGGGGGCCCGCACAAGCGGUGGGAGUAUGUUGGUUUAAUUCGAUGCAACGGCGAAGAACCUUACCUGGCCUUGACAUGAGCGAGAACUUUCCAGAGAUGGAUUGGUGCCUUCGGGAAACUCUAAACACAGGUGCUGCAUGGCCUCCUCGCCCAGACAAAA
RNAcentral lists this ribosomal RNA (679 nucleotides) under Stenotrophomonas sp. RNAcentral's name for it is "bacterial SSU rRNA". It matches the Rfam family "Bacterial small subunit ribosomal RNA", at positions 406 to 1070 of the family's 1533-position model. The record is from RNAcentral. Lineage: Bacteria; Pseudomonadati; Pseudomonadota; Gammaproteobacteria; Lysobacterales; Lysobacteraceae.